RNAcentral lists this ribosomal RNA (253 nucleotides) under uncultured bacterium. RNAcentral's name for it is "partial 16S ribosomal RNA". It matches the Rfam family "Bacterial small subunit ribosomal RNA", at positions 524 to 776 of the family's 1533-position model. The record is from RNAcentral.
UACGUAGGGUGCAAGCGUUGUCCGGAAUUAUUGGGCGUAAAGGGCUCGUAGGCGGUCCAUCGCGUCGGGAGUGAAAAGCUGGGGCUUAACCCCAGUCCUGCUUCCGAUACGGGUGGACUAGAGGUAGGUAGGGGAGAUCGGAAUUCCUGGUGUAGCGGUGAAAUGCGCAGAUAUCAGGAGGAACACCGGUGGCGAAGGCAGGUCUCUGGGCCACUACUGACGCUGAGAAGCGAAAGCAUGGGGAGCGAACAGG